This is a long non-coding RNA of Corvus hawaiiensis (hawaiian crow), 2404 nucleotides long. RefSeq lists it as uncharacterized. The record is from RefSeq and is a predicted model, not a curated record. The transcript has 2 exons. NCBI's taxonomy places the organism in Eukaryota, Metazoa, Chordata, Aves, Passeriformes, Corvidae.
GAUACCCCUGGAAAGAUUGGACAACCCAGGGUUGCUGAGGAAAAGCCCCUGAACAGGCCCCUGACUGCAGGCAGCCCUGAGUGUCCUUGGCAAGGUAUACAGCUGCCCGGCUCCCCCCCUCAUUAGAGGCCAUCUAGAGGGACUGGGUGUGAAUCUUUGCAAAAGUAGAUGUAAGUUGGCAUAGUUGAACAAUAAGGGGAGAACAAUGCUUAAUCAUAUUGGUGUACAUGUCAUUUAUGCGGCCAGCUCUCCGGACUCGGUCCCUAACACCUGUCCUCCUCCUGUCCCCCUGUGCCCCUUUUCUUGGACAAGUCUCAAAUGGCAACACACAUUCCCAAAGACUGUCUGCUUCCUUAAAUCCACGGACCAGCUAGUGCUGUCACUCAACAGCUGAAAUGAGCUUUCAGAGCCUAGAAACUAGCAGGAGUGACAAACAAAGGGAUUUGAAUCUGGAAAUAGGUGAGUUCCACCCACCCACUGCUGCUGAUGCAGAGACGGGCUCAGGGCAUCUGCGCAGCCCUUCCCUUUGGCACUGAUCCUGCACUGGAAUGUUGUGUUGUUGCCAAACCGGGCCUCAAACCAGGAGAAGGUAAGCCCUGACCAUUUGCCCCUGACCCUGGCACACCCACAGUGUGUUAUCUGGAGCAUGUGCCUCAGCUGGUGUCACUUGAGUUUCACCAGAGUUGCAAGUUGGCUCCUGCUCUGGGCGAUUCCGAGUGACCAUCACAUCAGUUGUGCACUAAGCACCGUUUAGCCAGACCCAGAGAUUUGGCCACAUAGUGACUUCUGAACAGAAAAUCAAAAUGCAGGAAAAGUGCCAGGACCACGGACGGGCCUGGGUACAGCACGGUCUUUGUGGGUCACUGUCACUCCAGGCCCUUACAGUCUCUCCUCAUCUUUCUUGUAGGCUCCCUUCAGGUACAGGAGCCAUUGCUCACUGGUGUUUUUGACUAUUCUCUGCCAAGGAAAUGAGUUGAAUUUCCUUGUCAAAUCUAAUAGGCUUUUAUACUUGGGCUUCUCUGCUGUGGGAUUCAUACUCAGAGACUGGUGUUGGUGUCUGGACGCUUCCAGAAGGUGGAUGUUAUCCCUGGAUGUAUAAAGAAAACGCCUAUCCAUCAUCUCUCAGGCAAUGAGAGCGGUGCAGGUGUCUGGCAUGGCAGCCUUUCCACCAGUUCACUGGUUGAGCUGGUGCCAAGGUGAGCCCACUCUCUAAAUUUCCCUUGCAUGCCUCAAGGCGUGCAUCGUAAGAUUCGUGCUUGUUGGAAGGACAGGAUUGAGCCGGUCUUCCGUGCAGUGAGUGUCAGGCGACGUUCUCUUUGCUGCACGUUGGUGACUCCAGGGGGUUCUGGAGUAACACAGACAUGCUGGCUCGAGAAGGCACAAAAGAGUGCUUUCCUUUCAAACACGGGAACUGGUGAAAAAGUGUGGUUUGUCUCUCACUGCCUGCAUUCCCUUCAACCCAGGGAGGCCGUAUGGAGCUGAUGACUUCCUGCCUGUGUUGACAUAGGCCCUAGCCCAGUGUGAUGAGCUGGAGACUGAAAUCGAAUACAUGACAGAGUGGCUGGAUCCAUCCUUGGUGUAUGGAGAAGCUAAAGGCUGAGAGGGGACACUGUCGGUAAUACAGAAAAUACUACCCUGUGUACAGAACGCAUCUCUGAACGCCUCUGAACAGACUGUGCUGCCUCUUAGCUGGACACUCCCACCCAAAUGGCUGACUUGGAAAAGAUAAGACAGACAGUGGGUCUCCUGUUGCUGCGGACCGUUACCUCCCGUCGAGACUCUUUUACUUUGUGACCUGCAGCUUCUUUUGUACAUUGCAACUCUGUUGUGGCUUUAAUUUGUUCUCUGUUUGUGUAAUAAAGGUGGAGUAUGCAGGACUGUACACACCAUCUCCCGAACAAGUUGGACAUUAUGGGGAAUGCCACAAAGGUGACAGACCAGUUGUUGUUUUAAAAACAAAGGCAACCCUUUGGGAUGAUUGCAGAGUACAAAUCUCACACUCAAUUGUUGCUUUAUUGCCACUAAGAGCGGUUGCUUUGAUGUUGAUGAACACCGGUAGAUUGUCUUUUACUUUGUUUAAGCAGCCGUGUUUAUUUCAUCCACCUCUGAAGCUUGGGAAGAAGACAAAACCCUGUUAGAUAAUCAUUUAAAAUAAAGCUGGUGUUCCAAGAGUAGAGGAAUAAACACGUGGGAGUAAAGGAGAGACAGGAGUCUUUUAAGGAAUCGGCUUUCCUCAGCAUGAGUGGACCCAGCCACGGGCACCGCUGUAUCAUAUGGAGCACAUGCAACCACUGAAUGCGUCUCAGUGGCUGAGAAUACACACUCCAGCGUUUUGCAGGCCAAUGAGCUGUUUUCCUUUUGUGUGUAAAUAUUUUGGCCAUAGAAUAAAGGGACUUUCUGUAUA